CUGCAUGAGGGAAACUGUUAUUCUUCUUCCAAGGAGAAUGGGUAUUCCUUCAAUGCUAUAACAUGAGGAGCUUUCAGGGCUGCCUGCCUUGAAGCACGGGCUGGGCAGUAGUAUGUUUCUCCAACAUGA
This is a small nucleolar RNA of Crotalus tigris (Tiger rattlesnake), 129 nucleotides long. RefSeq annotates it as small nucleolar RNA U109. NCBI's taxonomy places the organism in Eukaryota, Metazoa, Chordata, Lepidosauria, Squamata, Viperidae. The transcript has a single exon. The record is from RefSeq and is a predicted model, not a curated record.